RNAcentral lists this ribosomal RNA (138 nucleotides) under uncultured bacterium. RNAcentral's name for it is "partial 16S ribosomal RNA". It matches the Rfam family "Bacterial small subunit ribosomal RNA", at positions 355 to 509 of the family's 1533-position model. The record is from RNAcentral.
UGGGGAAUAUUGCACAAUGGGGGAAACCCGUGAUGCAGCGACGCCGCGUGGGUGAAGAAGUAUUUCGGUAUGUAAAGCCCUAUCAGCAGGGAAGAAAAUGACGGUACCUGAUCAAGAAGCCCUGGCUAACUACGUGCC